Myotis myotis is the source of this 555-nucleotide long non-coding RNA. RefSeq lists it as uncharacterized. Lineage: Eukaryota; Metazoa; Chordata; Mammalia; Chiroptera; Vespertilionidae. The transcript is spliced from 3 exons. The record is from RefSeq and is a predicted model, not a curated record.
CCGGAAGAGGCGGGCGGGCCCAAGAGGAGGGUCCGGAAGAGGAGGUGCAAGGAGGCGGGAACGCGAGGGAGACCGGUCAUAGAAGAAGACGUCCUUGUCGGGCCCAGAGAAGUUUCUGCCGUACUCCAUGUUGAUGACGAAGAGCCCGUGCCUGGCCUGCCUGCCGGUGACUGCCUCCAGCUGGGCCAGCAUCUGCAUGGGGAACUCCUCCAGGUACUCGAAUGCUGUGCCGUUCCUGGGACCAAGGCAGAUGGGAGGCGAGACCCUCAGUGCUGCAGCAGAGGUGAGGCGUGUGCAUGUGGGCCUGUGUGUACGUGCCCCUCUCCCUCCAGGAAGUGACAAUCAAACAGCACACGGACUCUGACCAGCCCUGCACAGCUCACGUUGAUGUGACAGCCGAGCCCUGGGACGGGGCGCAUGCCUUGGGCCACCCUGGCCAUGCGCUGAGAGCAGACCGCUGCUGGACCAGUGCACGUGAGAGAUGCUGUGUUCCGGACCAAGGGGCAGGGCAGAGCUGUGCGGGGAGGUCAGUUCUAGAUAACCUGAAGGAGAGCC